RNAcentral lists this non-coding RNA (195 nucleotides) under Lachnospiraceae bacterium 9_1_43BFAA. Lineage: Bacteria; Bacillati; Bacillota; Clostridia; Lachnospirales; Lachnospiraceae. The record is from RNAcentral. RNAcentral also lists the same sequence under 1 other name.
GUAGAAUAACCGUAUAUUGACUUUGGCAGAUGCCAAUGAAACAGGGAAUGCGGUGAAAGUCCGCAACAGCUCACUCUACUGUAAGGGAUGACGAACCCUGCAUACCACUGUGUUCGGAUGAGUUUCGGAUGCGGGAAGGGCAGGAAGUAGGUUUUAGUCCUAAGUCAGGAUAUCGGUCAAUAGGUAAGUAACAUC